GAUGAACGCUAGCUACAGGCUUAACACAUGCAAGUCGAGGGGAAACGACAUCGAAAGCUUGCUUUUGAUGGGCGUCGACCGGCGCACGGGUGAGUAACGCGUAUCCAACCUGCCCAUCACUUGGGAAUAACCUUGCGAAAGUAAGACUAAUACCCAAUGAUAUCCCACGAAGGCAUCGGAAUGGGAUUAAAGAUUUAUCGGUGAUGGAUGGGGAUGCGUCUGAUUAGCUUGUUGGCGGGGUAACGGCCCACCAAGGCAACGAUCAGUAGGGGUUCUGAGAGGAAGGUCCCCCACAUUGGAACUGAGACACGGUCCAAACUCCUACGGGAGGCAGCAGUGAGGAAUAGUGGUCAAUGGGCGAGAGCCUGAACCAGCCAAGUAGCGUGCAGGAUGACGGCCCUAUGGGUUGUAAACUGCUUUUAUAAGGGAAUAAAGUGGGUCUCGUGAGACUUUUUGCAUGUACCUUAUGAAUAAGGACCGGCUAAUUCCGUG
Molecule: ribosomal RNA, 492 nt
Filed under: uncultured bacterium
Lineage: Bacteria
Description: partial 16S ribosomal RNA
Rfam family: Bacterial small subunit ribosomal RNA
Source: RNAcentral